This 506-nucleotide ribosomal RNA is filed under the name uncultured bacterium. RNAcentral's name for it is "partial 16S ribosomal RNA". It matches the Rfam family "Bacterial small subunit ribosomal RNA", at positions 30 to 523 of the family's 1533-position model. The record is from RNAcentral.
AUUGAACGCUGGCGGCAUGCUUUACACAUGCAAGUCGAACGGUAACAUGAAGAAGCUUGCUUCUUUGAUGACGAGUGGCGAACGGGUGAGUAAUGUAUCGGAACGUGCCCAGUAGUGGGGGAUAACUACUCGAAAGAGUGGCUAAUACCGCAUGAGAUCUCUGGAUGAAAGUGGGGGACCGCAAGGCCUCACGCUACUGGAACGGCCGAUAUCAGAGUAGGUAGUUGGUGGGGUAAAGGCCCACCAAGCCUGCGAUCUGUAGCUGGUCUGAGAGGACGACCAGCCACACUGGGACUGAGACACGGCCCAGACUCCUACGGGAGGCAGCAGUGGGGAAUUUUGGACAAUGGGCGCAAGCCUGAUCCAGCAAUGCCGCGUGCAGGACGAAGGCCUUCGGGUUGUAAACUGCUUUUGUACAGAACGAAAAGGCUCUGGUUAAUACCCGGGGCUCAUGACGGUACUGUAAGAAUAAGCACCGGCUAACUACGUGCCAGCCGCCGCGGUAA